CCUACGGGCGGCAGCAGUUUCGAAUCAUUCACAAUGGGCGAAAGCCUGAUGGUGCGACGCCGCGUGAGGGAUGAAGGUCUUCGGAUUGUAAACCUCUGUCACUGGGGAGAAAACGCUUUGAGUUAAUAGUUCAAAGCCUGAUUUAACCCGGAGAGGAAGCAGUGGCUAACUCUGUGCCAGCAGCCGCGGUAAUACAGAGACUGCAAGCGUUAUUCGGAUUCACUGGGCGUUGAGGGUGCCCAAUCUGUUGGCCCGAGGCUUAACCUCGGAACUGCGUCUGAAACUACUCGACUAGAGUACUGGAGAGGGAAACGGAAUUCACGGUGUAGCAGUGAAAUGCGUAGAUAUCGUGAGGAACACCAGAGGCGAAGGCGGUUUCCUGGACAGUUACUGACGCUCAGGCACGAAAGCAUGGGGAGCAAAAGGGAUUAGAUACCCGAGUAGUC
This 446-nucleotide ribosomal RNA is filed under the name uncultured bacterium. RNAcentral describes it as "partial 16S ribosomal RNA". It matches the Rfam family "Bacterial small subunit ribosomal RNA", at positions 338 to 795 of the family's 1533-position model. The record is from RNAcentral.